GCCGCUGUAGCUCAGCCCGGUAGAGCAGCGCUUUUGUAAAGCGCGGGUCGCAGGUUCAACUCCUGUCAGCGGCU
RNAcentral lists this transfer RNA (74 nucleotides) under Phycisphaeraceae bacterium. Its description in RNAcentral is "tRNA-Thr". It matches the Rfam family "tRNA". From Rfam's summary of the family: Transfer RNA (tRNA) molecules are approximately 80 nucleotides in length. Their secondary structure includes four short double-helical elements and three loops (D, anti-codon, and T loops). RNAcentral also lists the same sequence under 1 other name. The record is from RNAcentral. Lineage: Bacteria; Pseudomonadati; Planctomycetota; Phycisphaerae; Phycisphaerales; Phycisphaeraceae.